AAAAAAGAGAAUAAAUUUGGAAAAAAAAAAUUCAAAAACAAUCGAAAAAAAGGAAAAAAAAAGAAGUGACAAAAAAAUCGAGUUAAAAAAAAGAAGAAAGAAAAAAAAAGUGAAAAGUCUUGCGAGUUUUUAUCAUUAUCACUUAUUACUCCGAUCAUCAAGUUUCCCUUCCUACCAUUAUUUACCCAUCCCAACGCCACAUUUUAAACCAAUUUUCUUCUUUGUUCAACCUACCCUACACCCGACAUUAUCCCUUGUAACCCAUUUUGAAACCGACCCUUAAGCAGC
RNAcentral lists this long non-coding RNA (288 nucleotides) under Gossypium raimondii (Peruvian cotton). Its description in RNAcentral is "long non-coding RNA (GRAI_LNC002804)". The record is from RNAcentral. Lineage: Eukaryota; Viridiplantae; Streptophyta; Magnoliopsida; Malvales; Malvaceae.